Molecule: long non-coding RNA, 1151 nt
Organism: Sebastes umbrosus (honeycomb rockfish)
Lineage: Eukaryota; Metazoa; Chordata; Actinopteri; Perciformes; Sebastidae
Exons: 5
Source: RefSeq, a predicted model, not a curated record
UUAGCAUCCUAUAGCUUUGUCUACCUUUCUGAUAGCAGACACUACAGACGACAUGGCCGCAGGUUGUGACAGCCAGUUUUCUGUCAGCACUGGGGGAGAGGAAGCAGGAGUUGCAGCAGAUCCAGUCUCACCAGUCUCUCUCCAGCAAAGACGGCAAACCUUGUGGAGUUGGUUUGGAAGCAAAGGUAGUGCUGACCAGACGCGUGAGCUGUGAAGUGACGCCGAGGUGAGGCGAGUGGGAGAGCGCCUUCAGAUCCCAAGGCUCCAACAAGAAAAAACCUGAAGGACUCACCGGUGACCAGCAUGUCUUCAGGAACCUCCUCGAUGAUGCACUUUUCCUGCUGCUCUCCUAGAUCAAAAUACAUGGCUGCUGCCAACAUCAGUCACUGCAGCGUGUCUAAUGGUUCGGCUCCCUCUCAGCAGAUCCACCAAGUGGAGGCCCGGCGAGCGGCAGCCCCGACUAACGCCUCCCAAACCGCUGGCCUUAUCAAGACUGACAGCCAGCUAGACCCAGAGCUAUCGCCAACACACACAUAAUUACAAAGAUACACGCCUGCACAUGUACAAAGAUACAAGACAGAGAAAUAAAUGCACGCUCACAUAAGCCGUUACGUGCAAAACAAAUGCAUACUGUGGUACAUGCAGUUGCAAACAUGCGUGUACACACAAAUGCGUGACGAAGCAUGGAUGUUAUCGAUGCACACUAUAGCUCUAAAUGUAGCUCCAAACAAACACAAAGUGGCCAUCGUAUUAGCUGUAAACGUGCAGAUGCAGUCACACAUAAACACACACACACAGCAAAUUGGAUUUAUGGAUACUGACAGUGAGCUGCAGAACAAUGUGGAUGCCACUACAGAGGAGAGCGAGAAACUAGCAAUCUAAUCUACUAUAGGAGGAGACGGGUAGAGCAGGCAUGAAGAAUCUAAUCCAUGUGUAGAUGAGGAGAGUGAAAGGAGCUGGAAUAGGUAGGAGCAGCAGGACAGAAACAAAAGAGAUGAAUGGAGGAACAGGUUGGCAGUAAAGAAGAAUGAGGGUGAGGAGGAAGAAGAGAGGUGAGAGGCGGAAAGGAAUGGGAUGGCAGUAACGAAGAUGGCAAGGGAGAGGAGGAUGAGGAGGAGGAAAAUAAAAAUAAAGAGGAUUUAUUAAUCUUA